RNAcentral lists this ribosomal RNA (914 nucleotides) under uncultured bacterium. Its description in RNAcentral is "bacterial SSU rRNA". It matches the Rfam family "Bacterial small subunit ribosomal RNA", at positions 8 to 916 of the family's 1533-position model. The record is from RNAcentral.
AGAGUUUGAUUCUGGCUCAGAUUGAACGCUGGCGGCAUGCUUUACACAUGCAAGUCGAACGGCAGCACGAGUGCUUGCACUUGGUGGCGAGUGGCGAACGGGUGAGUAAUGCAUCGGAACAUGUCCUAGAGUGGGGGAUAACGCAUUGAAAAAUGUGCUAAUACCGCAUAAUCUUCGAGAAGAAAAGCAGGGGAUCGCAAGACCUUGUGCUUUAGGAGUGGCCGAUGUCUGAUUAGCUAGUUGGUAAGGUAAAAGCUUACCAAGGCGACGAUCAGUAGCUGGUCUGAGAGGACGAUCAGCCACACUGGGACUGAGACACGGCCCAGACUCCUACGGGAGGCAGCAGUGGGGAAUUUUGGACAAUGGGCGAAAGCCUGAUCCAGCAAUGCCGCGUGAGUGAAGAAGGCCUUCGGGUUGUAAAGCUCUUUCAGUCGAGAAGAAAAAGCUAUAUUAAAUAAAUAUAGCUAAUGACGGUAUCGAAAGAAGAAGCACCGGCUAACUACGUGCCAGCAGCCGCGGUAAUACGUAGGGUGCGAGCGUUAAUCGGAAUUACUGGGCGUAAAGGGUGCGCAGGCGGUACUGUAAGUCAGAUGUGAAAUCCCCGGGCUUAACCUGGGAACUGUGUUUGAAACUACAGAACUAGAGUGUAGUAGAGGGAGGCGGAAUUCCAUGUGUAGCAGUGAAAUGCGUAGAGAUAUGGAAGAACAUCGAUGGCGAAGGCAGCCUCCUGGAUUAACACUGACGCUCAUGCACGAAAGCGUGGGGAGCAAACAGGAUUAGAUACCCUGGUAGUCCACGCCCUAAACGAUGUCAACUAGUUGUUAGGCUUUAAAAAGCUUAGUAACGUAGCUAACGCAUGAAGUUGACCGCCUGGGGAGUACGGUCGCAAGAUUAAAACUCAAAGGAAUUGACGG